Molecule: ribosomal RNA, 495 nt
Filed under: uncultured bacterium
Lineage: Bacteria
Description: partial 16S ribosomal RNA
Rfam family: Bacterial small subunit ribosomal RNA
Source: RNAcentral
GAUGAACGCUGGCGGCGUGCCUAAUACAUGCAAGUCGAGCGAACAGAUGAGGAGCUUGCUCCUCUGACGUUAGCGGCGGACGGGUGAGUAACACGUGGAUAACCUACCUAUAAGACUGGGAUAACUUCGGGAAACCGGAGCUAAUACCGGAUAAUAUAUUGAACCGCAUGGUUCAAUAGUGAAAGACGGUUUUGCUGUCACUUAUAGAUGGAUCCGCGCCGCAUUAGCUAGUUGGUAAGGUAACGGCUUACCAAGGCAACGAUGCGUAGCCGACCUGAGAGGGUGAUCGGCCACACUGGAACUGAGACACGGUCCAGACUCCUACGGGAGGCAGCAGUAGGGAAUCUUCCGCAAUGGGCGAAAGCUUGACGGAGCAACGCCGCGUGAGUGAUGAAGGUCGUCGGAUCGUAAAACUCUGUUAUUAGGGAAGAACAAAUGUGUAAGUAACUAUGCACGUCUUGACGGUACCUAAUCAGAAAGCCACGGCUAACUACG